UGGCGGACGGGUGAGUAACGCGUGAGAAUCUGCCCUUAGGAGGGGGACAACAGUUGGAAACGACUGCUAAUACCCCAUAUGCCGGGAGGUGAAAAGGUUAAAUCCGCCUAAGGAGGAGUUCGCGUCUGAUUAGCUAGUUGGUGGGGUAAGAGCCUACCAAGGCGACGAUCAGUAGCUGGUCUGAGAGGAUGAUCAGCCACACUGGGACUGAGACACGGCCCAGACUCCUACGGGAGGCAGCAGUGGGGAAUUUUCCGCAAUGGGCGCAAGCCUGACGGAGCAACGCCGCGUGCGGGAGGAAUGCCUGUGGGUCGUAAACCGCUUUUAUCAGGGAAGAAGGUCUGACGGUACCUGAUGAAUCAGCAUCGGCUAACUCCGUGCCAGCAGCCGCGGUAAG
RNAcentral lists this ribosomal RNA (397 nucleotides) under uncultured bacterium. RNAcentral describes it as "bacterial SSU rRNA". It matches the Rfam family "Bacterial small subunit ribosomal RNA", at positions 96 to 524 of the family's 1533-position model. The record is from RNAcentral.